This 23-nucleotide non-coding RNA is filed under the name Rattus norvegicus (Norway rat). Lineage: Eukaryota; Metazoa; Chordata; Mammalia; Rodentia; Muridae. The record is from RNAcentral.
AAAUGUAUUCUGGUCUGCCCAUG